AAAAAAAAAAACUUGCUCCAAAAUGUACUCGUCCCGACCGUCUCAUCAAUGUGCUCGGUGUUCCGAUUCUAUUCAUGCCGGAGUGCUUCGUGAAAUUCAUAAUCACUGCUGCAGCGCAGUUUAAACGUAUACGAGCGAUAUUUCUGUAGUAUAUUAUAUAAUACAUAAUAAACAGGUAUACUGAAAAAUUCGAGAUGUAGGUAUUUUUUGAAGUAGAAAAAAACCCCUCCGAUUUGCCCGAACCAAUUCCAUCAUAAACACGGCGCAGUGCGGCGGUGCGUUUU
Cinara cedri is the source of this 284-nucleotide non-coding RNA. The record is from the annotation of a GenBank genome assembly. Lineage: Eukaryota; Metazoa; Arthropoda; Insecta; Hemiptera; Aphididae.